GUCUUGCAGGCUCGAUGCGAUGUAACAAAGGUUGAAAGAAAAAAUAAUUCCUGGCGUGGGGCGACGGUAGCCGGGCCGGGACCUUCCAAAACAGCACGGAGAGACCAAAGGAGCGCGCGGUGAUGACGCAACACGCAGCUUAGGCUUUUUUUUCUUCCCCAGCGACGCGCGAGCGGAAGAUGUCUAGGCGCGCGCUGUUGCCAUGGUAAUUCGUACCCGCCUCUACGCUUGUGAGCUCGUUUAUGGCCUCUUUCUCCAGGAGACAUAUCUAGAAGGAAGUUGUGAUGGCCAGUGUCAAAGAGAUUUGUGGUACAAGAAGUGCUAAAGGAAGUCUUUCAACAAGAAAAUGAUACCAGAUAAAAUUGUGCAUCUACACAAAGGAAUAAAGGCACAGGAAAUGCCAAUUGCAUAGAUUCUACUUUGUAGAACUUUUAAAAAAGGUCUUGGAGAAGCUCAAGAGUUUCAGAAAGAAUUCCAAGUAGCUUACAGGAAAUGUUACAAUGAGAUAAAUAAAAUACAAACAUGAAUGGAAAAGAGAGAGGAAAAGAAGAUGAAGUACAAGGAAAAGAAGCUGUAAUGCACGUAGAAUAAUCUACAUAUAAAUUUAAGGUUCAGAUUUGAAGAGUCUCUUUGAAAGUGGGAGAGGACAGAUCUUACACAGACUUUUCAGCUAUGGGAGAAUUAUUUGAAACGCUAACCCUCCUCCCCAGAAUAAAACUCUUGUCAUUUUUUCUCCCA
Leopardus geoffroyi (Geoffroy's cat) is the source of this 738-nucleotide long non-coding RNA. RefSeq lists it as uncharacterized. Lineage: Eukaryota; Metazoa; Chordata; Mammalia; Carnivora; Felidae. The record is from RefSeq and is a predicted model, not a curated record. The transcript is spliced from 6 exons.